CGUGAUAUUGGUCCGGUUCAUC
This 22-nucleotide microRNA is filed under the name Populus tomentosa. Its description in RNAcentral is "Pto-miR171l-5p". Lineage: Eukaryota; Viridiplantae; Streptophyta; Magnoliopsida; Malpighiales; Salicaceae. The record is from RNAcentral.